AACUGCUUCUCCAAACCAGGCGAGACGGAACUCAAAAUAACGGGAAUCAACGCUACCACAAGGCCAAACGCCACGAUAACUCUCAGUUGCAGUGCUACUGGGUAUCCUAUGGAGAACAUCACUUGGCAUUAUCAGUCCUGCCCAAACGGCGUACCAUGCCCCAAAUUCUUCAGUGAGCUAGAGGAUUCUCAGAUUACGUAUGAAGUACACAAGGAGAACCACCAUUCAUCCGAAUGCACGUUUGUGGCUACAGAAUCUGCCUGGAUCGUAUGUCGAUCCGGAAAGAAAAACAAAUCUGCUGAUAUUGUGGUUUCAGAGUUCGAACAGCCCUUUUCCUUCAAGUACAGCGGCACCGGUGGAAUGAAGGACCUGCAAGCAACUUCUAAUGACACUUCAGUCGAGACAGACGCUUUCACCUUGACUUGCGCAGCCGCCAAGUUCUACUUUCGUAACGUCUCUGGCGUUCUCGCACACAGACGAGGGAGUGUCUUCAGGAGAUAAUGAAGUACCUGUUGCAUACAAAGAAAAUGAUCUCGACCUGAUUGCUACCUUAGACGUUGCAAACGUCAGCAGUAGACACGAAGGGACGUACAAGUGCACUGGACUCCCAAAACCAGGUGUUGUGAGCAGCGAAAUAACAUUGUACCACAAAGUCGAAGCUCUCAUCCCUGUAGUUCUCAACACAACAGGAAACAUGUGGCCAGAUGACCACGAGGAAAUUUGGAUGGCCGGAAAUGCUUUCGCUUUCAAUUGUUUCGUCUCCGGGACGCCUGUCAUCGACAUCUCCUGGAAAAAAGAGAAUCAGCCUCUUCCCAGUGAUUUCGGUGAAUUCAGGGAGAACAACCAGACCAUAAUGAUCCCUCGCCUAGAUCCCAAAAUGCACUCAGGUCAUUAUGUAUGUGAGGCUAGAAAUAGGGGUGGAUCUGUAAGGGGAUUUCUCACUCUAACUGUGAAAGGUUGACGGAAACUUAAGUCAGUUACGAAGGAGAUUUCAAUCACCAAGGGUCUCGUAACUCAGAUACUCUGAGCUCUAUUGAUUAUAUAAGGAUAUACAGCUAUAUCUUUGAAGUGACGACGACUAUUCCUUUCGACAUGUAAUCGCCGUUUAAACCCAGCCAGGAAGAAACAUUCCUUCAUCGCAGUCUCUCACUCUACACGUACUUCGCCUUCGUCCCAGGAUGAUAUCGGUGGGUCUGUAAAACUCAGGGGGAGUUUCGUUUGUCAAUCUGAAAUCAUUUGGAGGGAUAAUGCUUUCCCAUAUAAAAAUGCCUUCCAAUUACCAUCACUUACUUUUUAGUAUUUUCAUUUAAGCAUCUGUUUUUCAUACCUUGCAUAUUUGUAAUACGAGGUUUCGUACCCUUCCAGGGAUAUCAUGUAUUAUGUACUACGUGGACGUCAGUUUGGACUGUUGGUAUAUAUAUAUAUAUUUAGAUUUUCCAAGGUAUGCAACUUGCCAAGUGUUAUUACGUGCUGCACAUGCUCAUAAUUAAAUUUAGAUAUAUGCAUACGAUAAUUGUGUAGUGUUUAAUUAGGCAUUUGGUAAUAUUUUAAGGUAUUUUGGAAGUGGCUGAAUUACUGCGGCUCCCCCAAGCUUCACGAUGAUCAACUUUGUGUAUUAGCUGCCGCAUCAGCACCUGGAUGAUAGGACAGUUUUCAAUUACAAUAAAUUACUUAAUUCUUCUUAAUAUUUCAAUUAACCUUAUCAAUUUCCCGGUGUAUGAAUAAAAAUUCAGCGCAUGGCGACCGUGACAGGAUUAGGCAUUAUAGGUUACGUGCGUGACAUAGGACGUGAAUUGCGGUGAAUUGGAGGUUUCUUCCUGUGGGGUUUUUCACUUACAAUAUUUUAAAUCCCUCUUAUUGCAAGUUUCUUUAAAGUUCAGUGUCAUUUUUGCGAAUUCGUAGCUAAUGUUUAUCACUUGGUGAUUUAUCUAAGAGUUCAGUGUAAAAUAUUUUUCGAUUCGUAGUUUGAUGUUUAUCCCUUUGCAAAAUAAUUUAGUAUUUGAGUUCACCUAAUUUUUGCGUUGCUGUGAAAGUUUUUGCUUAGUAAUAACUUUGUUGCAUAUAUGUACUAAGUAUCUUUUACCAUUUUUUGAAAUUUUCGCUGUGUAUUGCAGUAAUUAUACUUAUAUUGGUGUUUGUAUGCUUAUUUGUCUUCAUAAUGGCUGAAUUGGUAGUGCUAAUUGGUCAGCGUAAGAUUAUUAGGAAGAAGGUUACAGAAUGUGCCAACCAUUCUUCACAGUACCUUUCAUUAGAUAACACGGCAAAAGUAUCUGAGCAGGGUGUUCUCUUGGAGUACAGGAAGAGAUUAAGUGACUUGGAUUCUAAAAUACAGACUCUAAAAUUUUCAGGGGAAUUUAGAGACGAGGAUUUGGAGGCUGAGCUCUCUGCAUGUCAGUCGUACUAUGAUAAAAUUUCAGGUAUUGUGCCUUUGUUGGAUGUUAGUGUCAAUGCUGGAAGCCCUCCACUUUCAUCUACUACUGAUAUUGCUAGGAGCCUUUUGAGGCAACCCACUGCACCUCUACCAAAAUUCCAAAAUAGAGGGACUAUUAUUGAUAGGAAACUGCAAGAAGCAACUGAUCAGAUUUUGAAUAUGGAGAGCCAAUUUUAUUUGAACUAUGAUCAGAAAGUUUACAGUGAUGAAUCUAAUCGGCUCGAUGAUUCUCUUGUGGACUACACUUUCAGAAAUUUGCACACGAAAGGUGAUGGACGCAUAGUUGUUCCCCUGUUAUGGAAUGGGAAGGUAUCGCACCUCCUUUCGAGAAAAGUCUCUCUUUCCAAGGCUGUUCUUCAAUCAAAUUGAAAAAUUACUUCGUAAGAAAGGUUCAUUGCAGUUGGUAGAUAACUGCAUAAAGGAGCAAUUGAAGGCGGGUAUUAUUGAGCCUAUUUUGGACUUGGAGGUAUUUAAGGCUGAAUAUCCUAACUACUCUUUCUUACCUCAUAUGCCAGUCUUUAAGCCAGAAAGGGAAACUACGAAGUGUCGCAUAGUAUUUCUUUCUAAAUUUGCAAGAAUCCUCUAAGAGACUGUCACUGUCACAUAAUCAAUAUAUGUAUGCUGGGCCUAACUUAAAUCAAAAGCUCUCCUCUGCAUUUCUUAAUAUUAGGUUUGAUGAAAAAAUUUUGAUUUUUGAUUUGAAGAAAGCUUUUAAUAUGUUGGCUUUAAGUGAAAUUGAUCAGUCUAGGCUAUUAUUUUUUUGGUUUCGGAAUGUCACCACAGGUGAUUACACCCCAGUUGCUUAUAAAAAUGUCAGGCUUUCAUUUGGACUUCGGUGUAGCCCAUUUCUUUCGAUGGCUUCAUUGUAUUAUAUGUUAAUCUUGACUUCCAGUAAUGAUUCAAGAAUCGAUGAACUCAAGAAACUUAUAUAUGCUUUAAUAUAUAUGGAUAAUGGUGCUGUCACAAUGAACAACUCUGAUGACUUGAGAUGGGCCUACGAGCAGUUAGCUGGCAUAUUCAAACCUUUUAAAUUUGAAAUUCAGCAACUGGUGACUAAUGACAUUGAUCUGCAGUCUGACAUAGAUCGGUCAGAAGUUCUUACCCUGGAAGUCAACAAAUUGUUUGGGCUUGAAUGGAAUAGACUUUCGGAUGAUAUUUUCACUAGGCCAAUUUCCCUUGACCUAGAAGCUAAUACCAAAAGAUUAAUUCUUAGGUCAAUUGCCACUCAGUUCAAUAUAUUUGGUUUCAACUUGCCUUUAUUUAACCAAUGUAGGCUUUAUAUGCAUAACUUGCAAUGUCAAAAGGGUUUGAACUGGGACCAGCCUCUUAAUAGUCAACAGCUUAAAGACUGGAGGAAUAUCUGUAGACAGUGUAAUUCAUCGCCCCCUCUUAAAGUAACUCGUUUUGUGGGUCGAAGGGAUGGUGAGUAUCAUAUAAUUGUUUUUACUGAUGCCAGUUGUGACAUAUAUUGGUGUGUAAUUUAUUUAUUGAAUGUUGAGUCUGGCAAACUUACUUUUAUUAAUGCUAAAAAUCGGUUGGUUAAUACCCAAUUGAAAGGUAAAUCCAUACCAUCUUUAGAGAUCCACGCCAUUAAUCUAGGAGUCGAACAAUCUGUUGGUCUUUAUUUGGAUCUUGCUGGUCCCAAUUGUAUAAAACCUAUAAAGGUGACAAAGAUUUGUCUAUUUUCAGAUUCCUCUUGUGCCCUGCAGUGGUUAAUAAGUUCUUCGCUUCAACUUAAAAAAAUGAACCAAUGUUCUACUUUUGUAUUGAACAGAAUUUACAGUAUACAAAAACUGUGUGAAACAUAUCCUGUUCAUUUUGGGUUUAUUAAUGGCAAGGAGAAUCCUGCUGACAUGGUAACCAGGUGCACAUCAUAUAAAUUGUUAAUGAAGUCUUGUUUCCUUUCAGGCCCGGACCUGAGUAAUAUUAGGGCGCAAACCAUGCAGUUCACUAUUCCUCAAGCGGGUUAUCUUUCUGGAAAUUACAUGAAUCUUUCUAAUGUUCCUUUAGUUAAGAGAAAUUACUUGGUGAAGAUUUCUGAUUUUUCUGACUUCCGAAGACUUGUUUUGCUGUACCGUCGGUGCAUAAUAUGCAUACACAAAUGGAAAGCUAAAGUGAGAAGACAAGUUGAUGUACAAGAAGAUAAUAAUUUUUUUGCUUUAGCUCUUGUACAUUUGAUUUUGACCGAUCAACAAAAUCACUUUGCUGAUGUUUUGGAGCAUUUUUCUAAAGGUUUUUCUGCAGCAAAGGAUAUACCAGGUAUAGUUUCUCAGUUUAACUUGUUUGUUGAUAACAAUGGCAUUUUGAGAGUGAAGAGCAAAUUUAAGAAAGAGAAAAAAUUUCCCAUUCUAUUAUCAAGAGACAGUCAUUUAACGAAGUUAAUUAUAUUGGAUAUUCAUCACAAAUUAGCUCAUUCUGGAUGCUAUGCUGUUCUUUCUGAAUUAAGAAGACAUUAUUUUAUUCCUAGAAAUUUUUCAGUGGUUAAAAAGAUUCUGAGGCAAUGUGUUCACUGCAAGAGAUUUAAUGCACGCCCUGUCAAUUUAAAUCAGAAUUGUUACAAGGAAUUCAGGGAAGACCCACCAGCUGUGCCUUUCGGCAAUAUUUUCGUAGAUUAUAUAGGGCCUUUUACAGUUAAACUGGAGAAGGAAAAGGGUAAGGUAUGGCUAUUAUGUUUUACUUGCACUUGGUCUCGUGCAAUUAAUUAAAAAAUUUGUAGAACACUCAGUGUGCCAGAUUUUCUUAGGGCAUUUUCUCUUCAUUGCUUCGAGUUUGGCAUUCCACAGUUAUGCAUUAGUGACUUAGGGUCACAAAUAGUUGCAGGAGCUAAUGUCAUAUCUUCAUUUUUGAAUGACCCACACACACAGUUGUAUUUUGAGGAACGUGGUGUUAAACCAUUAACUUUUCAACAAUAUUUCAAAGGAUGUAGUCAGUUGGGCUCCCUUGUCGAGAUUUGUGUCAAGUUAACAAAGCGACUUCUCUAUGGGUCCAUCAAGAACAAUAUUCUCUCCUACUUUGAUUUUGAGUUUACUGUAUGUCAUGUUGUCCACUUGGUAAAUCGACGACCAAUAUCUUUUAAAGAGGCUCUUAGGGAUAGUGCAGCAGAAGACCUUCCUGAACCAAUAACACCCGAAAUGUUAAUUAGGGGGUAUGAGCUUUCCUCACUCAAUGUCAUUCCAGAUUUACAACCUUUACCCAAAGAUGAAGAAUUUGUCCCUUGUGGAGCUACUAAUAAAUUUGAACCACUGUCUAGGAUUAGGAGUAAACUUAUAGAUAUUUACCAUCAUGAGUUUAUGCAAACACUUUUAAGCCAAGCAGUUGAUAGGAAGGGUAGAUAUCGCCCGGUGACUCAUCAUCCUCUAAAAGUAGGUGACAUUGUUUUGAUCAAGGAAGAUAAUACUAAGAUUAACAAUUAUCCUUUAGGUCGGAUAAAGGAAACUUUUACGAAUGAUCUUGGGGAGACUACACAUGCUGUAGUAUUUAAAGGACGUACCAGACAAAUUUGUAAACUCCACGUUAAUAAACUAAUACCUUAUCUUUCCUUAGAUGAUGAAGACUCAAAGUCCAGUGAUUUGCAAAACUUAGACAAAUCAUCACCAGCUUCUGAGAGGUCUAAAAGAAAGGCUGCUGUGGAAAGCCGGAGAAAAACCUCUGAAAUGUUGAAUUUAUAAACUUUGAUCAAUUUAAAUUUUGUAUGCAUUGUAUAUAUAUUCUUAUGUAUUUAUCAAAAUCCAAAAACACAUGUUUUUGGAUUCGUUCCCCUGCAGUGUACUGAAAUUCCAUAUGGAAUUUGUAUUUUUUUAUUAUUUGUUUAAUUAGCAUGGUCACUGGAAGACAGUUAACGUAGUUUUCAAAUAUUUAACUACCCCCUUGGUUGUUAACAGCUCACUGCCUUCCAGCGGCCGUUCUGGUUCUGUCCUAACCAACCACUAAUGAUUUUGCUUUCUUCCUGAGGUUGACGGAAACUUAAGUCAGUUACGAAGGAGAUUUCAAUCACGAAGGGUCUCGUAACUCAGAUACUCUGAGCUCUAUUGAUUAUAUAAGGAUAUACAGCUAUAUCUUUGAAGUGACGACGACUAUUCCUUUCGACAUGUAAUCGCCGUUUAAACCCAGCCAGGAAGAAGCAUUCCUUCAUCCCAGUCUCACUCUACACGUACUUCGCCUUCGUCCCAGGAUGAUAUCGAUGGGCUCUAUUCCAUGAUAAUAAAGACGGGAUUCUCUAUCCUGACUAAUACAAUGAAACGAUUGACAUUUUGGGUGUGGGAGUGAAUACUUAGCCAGGAGAAUGGAAUGAUAACUUAAUAGUUUUCUUUGUGGGGCAGACUUGGGAUUUUAUCACUAUGACUUAUUAAUCAUUUUAUCCUAUUUUAUGUUCAUCUGCUUUGGGUAAUAAAUAGUAUAUUUUUGUAUUAAUGAGAGCUUAAUAGCCUAAUGACAUGUUUGCAGACAGAGGGCACCAUUGACAACAGGUAAAGGUUUCCAAUUUGUGUAGUUUUGAUAAAAGGGUGUAAGAGUGGUGGCAGGCGGUUUAAGAAGCUUUUUAUAUGUUUUAUAAGCUGUAGGUACGCUAACGAAGAAACUGGUAACUAGUUAGACAUACAUUUUAUUUAUUUAUUUAUUUAUUUUUUGGUAGGAAAGGGGGUUAUAAUCAUGUCACAGGCAACUCGGGGCUCUUUUUGCUGUUUCAAUGGUUUGGGUGUGGACCAGCGCUGGGCAUCUCUCUGGCUCAGUCAGUGUCGGCCAUUUUGUGAUUCAAGAAAACCAGUGUUUUAAAACGUGAAGGGAAAAAGUUUAAUUUUCGACGUGUUAAAGUGUUUCACGAGUGUGGUGAACAGGCUACGCAUAUUUGCGGUACGUAUACGAAUUCGGUUUCCAGUCAUGUGAAGAUGUGAGUGUAUUUUCAAGUUUUCUUUCCUAUUUUCUCCUCUUUAUCUUUUAUUUUUAUUAUUAUUCUUUUUUUUGUGGCGAAUUUACUCAAGGGGGCAUUUUUGUUUUGAUGUCUCUCGAAAUUCGACGGACAUGGUAAUGUUGUGAGCGGGGGUUUUUGUUGCAAGUCAUGCCCUGAGAGAGAGAGAGAGAGAGAGAGAGAGAGAGAGAGAGAGAGAGAGUUUGUGUGUGUGGCUCUGGUGUCGCUGGGUUGGAUCGCUUAGUAAGCGUUUUGCACCUUUUUUUUUCUUUUUCUAUCCCCUCCCUAUUUUUUGUUGUUGCUUUCGUGGGAUGAUAUACUGGGCGUGGGGGGCGUUUGCUUUUUGUUAUCCAUUAUUGGGGGAAAAUUUGUAUUAAUUUUUCUGGAUUGGGUUUUGUGUAUAUAAAUACAUUGAUGUUAUUGAGAUCGGGGAAUCUUAUAAAACAAAAGAGCAUCCGGAAAAAGAGAAAGAUGGCGGAUAC
RNA transcript from Macrobrachium nipponense, 7816 nucleotides. RefSeq lists it as uncharacterized. The transcript is spliced from 9 exons. The record is from RefSeq and is a predicted model, not a curated record. Lineage: Eukaryota; Metazoa; Arthropoda; Malacostraca; Decapoda; Palaemonidae.